Aplysia californica (California sea hare) is the source of this 1419-nucleotide long non-coding RNA. RefSeq lists it as uncharacterized. The record is from RefSeq and is a predicted model, not a curated record. The transcript has 2 exons. NCBI's taxonomy places the organism in Eukaryota, Metazoa, Mollusca, Gastropoda, Aplysiida, Aplysiidae.
UUUUCUUACGUUCUCAGAACAACCCUCUGGAAGAUGGCGACUCUGUGGCGUCCAAGUUCCUGGAGAAAUUCUGUGAGGCUCUGGCUGGAGAUAUGGACGCCGGGCUGAGGGUUAUUGUACAGGCUAUGGAGCACUUUCAGAGAGCCAGCGAAGACAGCCAAGGAGAGAGCGAAGGAAGAGACUAGACUUCGCAGACCUUGGUUCAGGAAGAAGAAACAGGACGCGACCCAGAUUCUGAACAGAUCACGCCCCGACUGCUCAAUUAUGAUUUAACAAACAUAACUGUGUGAAUUCUUUUAUCUAUCAUGUUUAUAUUAUCAUGUUGCUAAAAUAAUGAAAUAGCACACAAUAAGACAUACACUGUUAUUUUCUUUCUUUUAAUGGAAUAUAAACACCACAAUUAGAGGGGGAAAAAUAAUCAUAUAUAUAAUAAUAAUAUAUAUAUAUAUAUGUAUAUAUAUAAUAAAAAUCAUUGCCUCUGUGAUAAGACCAGGUAAUUCACAUAAUACUAUACUUUUUUCAAUUUGACAAACACACAGUAAAAUCAAUUACUUAUUUCAUAUACUCAGUCAAAGAUGGAUUUGAAUUUUGACUAUAAACGCUCCAAAAACUAUAGAAAUAUAGAUGGCUGCCAGGUUGCUACGUUAUGACGAUGAAACUAAAUUAAGUUUUUAGCUUCUUCUGUAAAAUUAUCUCUGCUAAGUUUAGCUGGUCUUAUCUCAAAGGAGACGAUAAAGAUAUUAGGGUUUAAGUAAUAUUAUAAUAUUAUAGUGCAUAUAGUUAAUACAAAAAACCCCCACAAUGUUCCCUCAGUAUUUUGUACAAUACCCUGUGUAUAUUUCGUCAACCUAACAGCGAAACCAGGAAUGUUGAAGCUCAAAAGGUCAACAGGAAAAUCAAUCAAUUAUUAUUAGCCAGCUGAUCAGACAUAUUAAGUCCAAGAUUUUGAUUACAAAAAAAAAAAAUUAUCUUACUUACAUCUCUCAAUCUGGUUGCAUGUGCUCAAGAAAUAUUUAAUAGAAAUUCAAAGAAUACGCGCUGGUAAAAAGUAGCACGUAAAAAUACAUAAAGUAGGUACAAUUAUUAAAAGAAUGAAACUUUUUUUUUCUCUCUCCUGAAAAAUUUUGCUUUCUGGGCUUAGCACAUUUGAACAGCUUGGCAAUGAUAUGUAAGUAUAACAUAUAUAUAUAAAAACACCAUCAUAGUCUCACACAAAAUCAAUUAAAGGCUUAUUGUUCUUCCCAAAUGUCUAUCAACUGGUGUAAAAGUAACAAAAUGUAUGCAUAUAACAUAAAUAUAUUUGUUAAAAAUACAACAAUAGAGUUACUUCCCAGAUAUUUUCAACAUGUAAACAUUGUCAACUUUUCUAAAAAAAAAAACCCAACAAGUUGGUGAAUAAAUUGUGUCUAUCAAUCUGCA